This 253-nucleotide ribosomal RNA is filed under the name uncultured bacterium. Its description in RNAcentral is "partial 16S ribosomal RNA". It matches the Rfam family "Bacterial small subunit ribosomal RNA", at positions 524 to 776 of the family's 1533-position model. The record is from RNAcentral.
UACAGAGGGUGCGAGCGUUGUCCGGAAUCACUGGGCGUAAAGGGCGCGUAGGUGGCCUGGUAAGUAGGGGGUGAAAUCUCGUGGCUCAACUGCGAGGCUGCCUCCUAAACUGUCCGGCUCGAGCAGAGUAGAGGCAGGUGGAAUUCCCGGUGUAGCGGUGGAAUGCGUAGAGAUCGGGAAGAACAUCGGUGGCGAAGGCGGCCUGCUGGGCUCUUGCUGACACUGAUGCGCGACAGCGUGGGGAGCAAACAGG